Molecule: ribosomal RNA, 1064 nt
Filed under: Halomonas sp. Ap-4
Lineage: Bacteria; Pseudomonadati; Pseudomonadota; Gammaproteobacteria; Oceanospirillales; Halomonadaceae
Description: bacterial SSU rRNA
Rfam family: Bacterial small subunit ribosomal RNA
Source: RNAcentral
GGCGGCAGGCUUAACACAUGCAAGUCGAGCGGCAGCACGGGAAGCUUGCUUCCUUGGUGGCGAGCGGCGGACGGGUGAGUAAUGCAUAGGAAUCUGCCCGGUAGUGGGGGAUAACCUGGGGAAACCCAGGCUAAUACCGCAUACGCCCUACGGGGGAAAGCAGGGGCUCUUCGGACCUUGCGCUAUCGGAUGAGCCUAUGUCGGAUUAGCUGGUUGGUGAGGUAAUGGCUCACCAAGGCGACGAUCCGUAGCUGGUCUGAGAGGAUGAUCAGCCACAUCGGGACUGAGACACGGCCCGAACUCCUACGGGAGGCAGCAGUGGGGAAUAUUGGACAAUGGGCGCAAGCCUGAUCCAGCCAUGCCGCGUGUGUGAAGAAGGCCCUCGGGUUGUAAAGCACUUUCAGUGGGGAAGAAAGCCUGGUGGUUAAUACCCGUCAGGAAGGACAUCACCCACAGAAGAAGCACCGGCUAACUCCGUGCCAGCAGCCGCGGUAAUACGGAGGGUGCGAGCGUUAAUCGGAAUUACUGGGCGUAAAGCGCGCGUAGGUGGCUUGAUAAGCCGGUUGUGAAAGCCCCGGGCUCAACCUGGGAACGGCAUCCGGAACUGUCAGGCUAGAGUGCAGGAGAGGAAGGUAGAAUUCCCGGUGUAGCGGUGAAAUGCGUAGAGAUCGGGAGGAAUACCAGUGGCGAAGGCGGCCUUCUGGACUGACACUGACACUGAGGUGCGAAAGCGUGGGUAGCAAACAGGAUUAGAUACCCUGGUAGUCCACGCCGUAAACGAUGUCGACUAGCCGUUGGGUCCUUCGCGGACUUUGUGGCGCAGUUAACGCGAUAAGUCGACCGCCUGGGGAGUACGGCCGCAAGGUUAAAACUCAAAUGAAUUGACCGGGGCCCGCACAAGCGGUGGAGCAUGUGGUUUAAUUCGAUGCAACGCGAAGAACCUUACCUACCCUUGACAUCUUGCGAACCCUUCAGAGACGAAAGGGUGCCUUCGGGAACGCAGAUACAGGUGCUGCAUGGCUGUCGUCAGCUCGGGUUGUGAAUUGUUGGGUUAAAUCCCGUAA